Molecule: long non-coding RNA, 2458 nt
Organism: Biomphalaria glabrata
Lineage: Eukaryota; Metazoa; Mollusca; Gastropoda; Planorbidae
Exons: 2
Source: RefSeq, a predicted model, not a curated record
GGCUCGUCCGGGCAGGUAUCGUUGUACCUGUUACCUAUCAUUUGUCGUUUAACCAGUAUUAUUAUUGACAUCUGGAGGCUUCGUGCGGGCAGGUACCGUGUCGGUUGUACCUAUUUUUUCGUCACCUUGAAGAAGCCAUUGAACUAGCCAGAGCCUGCAUUUUUUUUUGUUCACUGGUUGACCUCUACACACGAUUGUGACUGUUACACACCGAAGUUAUUGUGUUAUCAAAGUCAGUAAUGUAUUCAAGAAAGAAUCUGAAUAAAACUUUGUGCUUUAACAUCGUUUACAUUCACGUAGACCCCGCCUCCUAGAGAUGUGGAGACAGCAUUAGGUGGAAUCAACUCUAUAGAAAAUGACAUACCAUUCAAAGAAACAAAUUGACAUUUCUACUAGAACCGUAUUUGUUUAAAACCUAAUUCGUCAUAUGUCAUUGACUAAUUUGGACUUGCAGCUACUUCGUGUAUACCGAGGUCAUUGCGUCACUCACCAUUUAAAGAGACAUCACCAUUUAAAGGGACAUCACCAUUUAAUGAGACAUCACCAUUUAAAGGGGCAUCACCAUUUAAUGAGACAUCACCAUUUAAAGGGACAUCACCAUUUAAUCAGACACUACUACUACUACUACUUACUUACUAUUGGAUUAUUGGAUUUAGAGAUAUCACCAUUUAAUGAGACAUCACCAUUUAAUGAGACACAUCACCAUUUAAUGAGACACUAUUACUACUACUACUCGCUUACUAUUGGAUUAUUGCGUUUAGAGACAUCACCAUUUAAAGAGGAAUCACCAUUUAAAGAGACACUACUACUACUACUACUCGCUUACUAUUGGAUUAUUGGAUUUAGAGACAUCACCAUUUAAAGAGGAAUCACCAUUUAAAGAGACAUCACCAUUUAAAGGGACAUCACCAUUUAAAGAGACACUACUACUACUACUACUACUACUCACUUACUAUUGGAUUAUUCUACAUGAAUGCAAGUACUCAAGUAAUCGUGAAUUAUCUACCUUUGUUACAUUGAUGUUGGAUUAUACUGGACUUUAGCGCAUCGAUGCCCUCUUGGUCAUCGUUGAACGUAAAGGAAAUAGCAAGUGCCUGUAUCACUGUAUCUAACCUAUGGGACUGACUUGAUUAUUUGUAUAUCUGGUAUCUUUUUGGAUUAUUGUUGCACUACAUGACUAGAUAAUCUUUUCUUUUGUAUUCACCCAUUAUUAUUACUAUUAGUAUUAUAUCAAUGUUUGAAUAAUUUUGUUUUGUAUUUAUUUCAUUCUCUAAAUCUGCUGUGAGUCAUAAAGCGUUUACAAGGAGGCCGAACAGCGACCUGACACUUCAAAAGUUCUACAUUCUUAAAGUAACACCGUCAUGUGGAUAGAGUUGUCAUUUCUUUCCUGGCAUCAGACACAGAUAAGUUGAGUUUUCUUUUGUCUGUUGUAUCGGGCAUUCAGGGUCGAGUGUACAUUGCCUUUUCAGUAGGGGAGAUAAAGGUACAUCCGAAAUAGCUUGCUGUGUGUUGCACCAAGUAGAUGGCUUCCUUCCGGUAAAGUGCAGAGAGCUGAUACAUAGAGAGUAGCAUUACUUCAUUAGUAGCGUGAGUGUCCAACGCCUAGACAGAUACCUCUGAUACCCAGGAGGAUGCACAAUCCAGUUUGACCACACACCACUGUCUACUAGCUGAUACACUGUCAAGACUAACCUAGCAUCUUAGCAUAGUUGUAAUUGUCAGAAUUCAUCUUUUUUUUCCCAAUACAAAGUCAAACGCGGUUUUAACUAUUAGAGAUGGUAUCUUGUCGUAUAUUACUGCUGUUUACAAAUUAAAUAUUAACGUGGGAAGGACUAUGCCUGCCGACUUCAAAUUGUAAUUUAACUCUCCAUGCCACUAUUUUUUUCUCAUUUAUUCUCUUCUCUCUUUCCCUUUGUUGUAAAUAGUGUCAUAUGAGUGAUAGCCUUAGCUGGACAUAUUUCUUUUGUUAGGUUAAUAAGGGCUAUUUCACUUUAGUGUGUAUUAUAAACAUUUGUUUGUAGAUAUAUAUGUUAUAUAUAUAUGUAUAUAAGUAUGUGUAUGACACAGUGUGUGUAUGCAUGUAUAUUUAUGUAUAUAUUUGAAUGACUGUUAUCUAAUAACAGUCAUAUCGUGAGAGGGGGGAUUUCAGGGAGAGGUAUGGCGAGAAUGAAUGUUAGUUUAAUAUUUUGGUGUGAUUGUUAUACCCCUUGUUAUGAAUGCGAAGUGUUACACGUGUUGUGAACUGAGUGAUUAAGUCUUCGUUGAAUGUGCGAGAGAGUGUGUUAGUCAGUAAGGUCUUUCUCCCUGUCCAGGAAGGUUGGACGUUUACUUCCUGGACUGGUAUUUAUGCAUUUAUAUAUUUAUAAGUUGAUGGACUGGUGUUUUGUGUAUUUCAUAAGAGUGAUAUAAUUGUGUGCUUUAUUAAGUAUUAAAGUAUUAUCGAUAUUCGUGAAUAUAA